This 638-nucleotide ribosomal RNA is filed under the name uncultured bacterium. RNAcentral describes it as "bacterial SSU rRNA". It matches the Rfam family "Bacterial small subunit ribosomal RNA", at positions 8 to 690 of the family's 1533-position model. The record is from RNAcentral.
AGAGUUUGAUCAUGGCUCAGAGCGAACGCUGGCGGCAGGCCUAACACAUGCAAGUCGAGCGGCCGUAGCAAUACGGCAGCGGCAGACGGGAGAGUAACACGUGGGAACGUACCCUUCGGUUCGGAAUAACUCAGGGAAACUUGAGCUAAUACCGGAUACGUCCGUAAGGAGAAAGAUUUAUCGCCGAGGGAUCGGCCCGCGUCCGAUUAGCUAGUUGGUGGGGUAAUGGCCCACCAAGGCGACGAUCGGUAGCUGGUCUGAGAGGAUGAUCAGCCUCACUGGGACUGAGACACGGCCCAGACUCCUACGGGAGGCAGCAGUGGGGAAUAUUGGACAAUGGGCGCAAGCCUGAUCCAGCCAUGCCGCGUGGGUGAUGAAGGCCCUAGGGUUGUAAAGCCCUUUCGGCGGGGAAGAUAAUGACGGUACCCGCAGAAGAAGCCCCGGCUAACUUCGUGCCAGCAGCCGCGGUAAUACGAAGGGGGCUAGCGUUGCUCGGAAUCACUGGGCGUAAAGCGCACGUAGGCGGAUUGUUAAGUCAGGGGUGAAAUCCUGGAGCUCAACUCCAGAACUGCCUUUGAUACUGGCGAUCUUGAGUCCGGGAGAGGUGAGUGGAACUGCGAGUGUAGAGGUGAAAUUCG